UUUCCCAUUUGUGAUGUCGGAGACACAUCUUAAAGAUGGUGUCAAGGAGGUUGUAACACCCUAAAACUCGGAAUCAUAACUAAAAGGAUAAAAUCCAUGUUUUAGGAUGCUAUUCAAACAUAACAUGCAUACUUUACAAAUAUUUUCAAAACUCGCAGCAGAACUCAAUUAAAUAACAUAAACUUCAGUUAUCUCAUUGACGUAAAAAUUUAAUAAAAUCAACAUAAUCCAACGAUU
Molecule: long non-coding RNA, 237 nt
Filed under: Lathyrus oleraceus (garden pea)
Lineage: Eukaryota; Viridiplantae; Streptophyta; Magnoliopsida; Fabales; Fabaceae
Description: Pisum sativum (pea) long non-coding RNA (PSAT_LNC026566)
Source: RNAcentral